This 802-nucleotide ribosomal RNA is filed under the name Gliocladiopsis siamensis. Its description in RNAcentral is "Gliocladiopsis sp. RHP-2022a partial large subunit ribosomal RNA". It matches the Rfam family "Eukaryotic large subunit ribosomal RNA", at positions 77 to 912 of the family's 3401-position model. Lineage: Eukaryota; Fungi; Ascomycota; Sordariomycetes; Hypocreales; Nectriaceae. The record is from RNAcentral.
GCCCUAGUAACGGCGAGUGAAGCGGCAACAGCUCAAAUUUGAAAUCUGGCCUUCGGGUCCGAGUUGUAAUUUGUAGAGGAUGCUUUUGGUGCGGUACCUUCCGAGUUCCCUGGAACGGGACGCCAUAGAGGGUGAGAGCCCCGUCUGGUUGGAUACCAAUCCUCUGUAAAGCUCCUUCGACGAGUCGAGUAGUUUGGGAAUGCUGCUCUAAAUGGGAGGUAUAUGUCUUCUAAAGCUAAAUACCGGCCAGAGACCGAUAGCGCACAAGUAGAGUGAUCGAAAGAUGAAAAGCACUUUGAAAAGAGAGUUAAAAAGUACGUGAAAUUGUUGAAAGGGAAGCGCUUGUGACCAGACUUGGGCUUGGUUGAUCAUCCUGGGUUCUCCCUGGUGCACUCUUCCAGUCCAGGCCAGCAUCAGUUUGUUUCGGGGGAUAAAGGCUUCGGGAAUGUGGCUCCCUCGGGAGUGUUAUAGCCCGUUGUGUAAUACCCUGAAGCAGACUGAGGUUCGCGCUCUGCAAGGAUGCUGGCGUAAUGGUCAUCAGCGACCCGUCUUGAAACACGGACCAAGGAGUCGUCUUCGUAUGCGAGUGUUCGGGUGUUAAACCCCUACGCGUAAUGAAAGUGAACGCAGGUGAGAGCUUCGGCGCAUCAUCGACCGAUCCUGAUGUUCUCGGAUGGAUUUGAGUAAGAGCAUACGGGGCCGGACCCGAAAGAAGGUGAACUAUGCCUGUAUAGGGUGAAGCCAGAGGAAACUCUGGUGGAGGCUCGCAGCGGUUCUGACGUGCAAAUCGAUCGUCAAAUAU